Molecule: transfer RNA, 63 nt
Filed under: Oomorphoides metallicus
Lineage: Eukaryota; Metazoa; Arthropoda; Insecta; Coleoptera; Chrysomelidae
Description: tRNA-Asn
Source: RNAcentral
UUAAUUGAAACCAAAAAGAGGUUUAUCACUGUUAAUGAUAAUAAUGGAUUAAUCCCAAUUAAA